This 72-nucleotide transfer RNA is filed under the name Marmota monax (woodchuck). RNAcentral describes it as "tRNA.Ala". The record is from RNAcentral. Lineage: Eukaryota; Metazoa; Chordata; Mammalia; Rodentia; Sciuridae.
GAGGGUGUAACUUAGUGGCAGAGCCCUUGCCGAGCAUGCAUGAGACCCUGGGUUCAGUUCCCAGCACUGCUG